RNAcentral lists this ribosomal RNA (601 nucleotides) under Neurosymploca sp. 3 (morphotype 'magnifica'). RNAcentral describes it as "partial 12S ribosomal RNA". The record is from RNAcentral. Lineage: Eukaryota; Metazoa; Arthropoda; Insecta; Lepidoptera; Zygaenidae.
UGCGGUUAAACAAAAGUUAAAUUAAAUUUUUUUAAGGUUUAAUAAAUAAAAUUUUAAUAAUAAAAUAAAUAUUAAAUUAUUAAGUGAAAUUUUAAUUUAAUUAAAAUUUAUUAUUUUUUUUUGAUAUUAAUAAAUUUUAUUUAAAACUAGGAUUAGAUACCCUAUUAUUGAAAUUUAAAAUUUUAAUCUUAAAAUAGUAGAUAUAUUUAUAUUGAAACUUAAAUAAUUUGGCGGUAUUUUAGUUCAUUUAGAGGAAUCUGUUUAUUAAUUGAUAAUCCACGAAUAAAUUUACUUAAUUUAUAUAAUUUUGUAUAUCGUUGUUAUAAAAAUAUUUUUUAGUAAAAAUAAUAUUUUAAAUUUAAAAUAAAAAAUUAAAUCAGAUCAAGAUGCAGAUUAUAAUUAAGAAUAUAAUGGAUUACAAUAAAUUUUAUUUUUUGGAUGUUAAUUUUAAAAAUUAAUUGAAAUUGGAUUUAAAUGUAAUUUUAUUUAUAUUUUUAAAAUGAUUAAAAAUUAAAAUAUGUACAUAUUGCCCGUCGCUUUCAUGUAUAAAUUGAAAUAAGUCGUAACAAAGUAGAGGUACUGGAAAGUGUUUCUAGAAAGA